This is a long non-coding RNA of Fukomys damarensis (Damara mole-rat), 166 nucleotides long. RefSeq lists it as uncharacterized. The transcript has 3 exons. Lineage: Eukaryota; Metazoa; Chordata; Mammalia; Rodentia; Bathyergidae. The record is from RefSeq and is a predicted model, not a curated record.
CUCUGCAAUAAAGGCACACAGACGACCACAGCUGUUCUAGAGGUUGAGAAGUCCAAGGUCAAGAUUCAACUUCUGGUGAGGGUUUCUUGCUACAUGUCAGAGUGGAAGAAAUUUCUCCCUUUUCUUCACCUCCGUCUCUUGCCUUUCCUUCUCUUUACAUGCUAAG